This is an RNA transcript of Quercus robur (English oak), 1696 nucleotides long. RefSeq lists it as uncharacterized. The record is from RefSeq and is a predicted model, not a curated record. The transcript is spliced from 7 exons. Lineage: Eukaryota; Viridiplantae; Streptophyta; Magnoliopsida; Fagales; Fagaceae.
GAAGGGGUGAUUUCGGAAACGGCUUCGGCUGAUUUUCCCGUGUUUAUUUUGACAGACUAAAAAAGUGAUUGGAGGUCCCAAGUAGGCUCUGUAACAAGUCUUAGUCUAGACCCUGUUUCAAUAUUUCUUUUUAUGUUUAAGCUUUCUUGUCUCUGACCCUGUUGUUGUCUGUGUAAAAAACCCAAAAUAUUCUUCGUUUUUACUACUUUUUUAGUGACUGCAUAAAGAAGUAAAAGUUCGAACAAAUUAUGGCUUUGAAAUAGUUUUGUGCUUGACUUUUUCAUGUCAAAUUGUUGAUUCAAUAUGUUGUGGGGUUCAUGCAAUGUUGAAGUAUAUGCUGUUCUGCAAUUCUGCUACAGGAAAAUUUCUGGUACCCUAAUCCAUUAUCCCUUUCAUGGUUUAAAAUUAGUGAGAAAGUUGUUAAUGGUGCGCAUGUAUCAAGUUCAACGAGUACGUGAUGGGAAACACUUUGCUACCCGAAGAGUAGAUGCGAUACAGAAGGGAAACAUUGUAUUCACAUUACUAGCUCCAUUUCAGAAAGAAGAAGGGUUUGAACACCAGGAAGUAACAAUGGCUUCUGUACCUGCUCCAGAGAUGCUUCCAUCGAUGGAAGAGACGUCUCACGGAUCCACAUCUUCCAAGGACUUAUGGGAACAAGGUGGCCACUACAAAUUUCAUCCAUUGGCCCAUUGAGAUACAGUUUUGUGAGCCCAAUGCUUCAACCAAUCAGACUAAAUCUCCUCCAAGUUUGAGGUAUUGAGCAAAAGGCAACUCUCUGAUGAUCAGGCCUUGCAUAGGCAAGUAAAACCAUUUUAUAAAUAUAUAUAUAUAUAUAUAUAUAUACAAGGUGGGUUCUGCUUUGCUUGAAUAAAAGCUGAGCAGAAUAUCUCAUAAUGAAUGAGCAAUGUGGCCUUUUGUAUUGUUCUGCGUAGUUUUUGAGGGAACCUUAUACUGUAAUUAUUCGUAUAUUCCAGUUAAGUUAACAUGCCAUAUCAUCUAUGUGUCAUAUUUACAUGAUUGAAAAUCAGCCUCACUGUUAUUUUGACCCUUCGUAGAGGUCAGGAUGAAAAUUUUUGUUGGUGGGCCUUGCCCCAAGAAAGGUUUACUUGGCAUAUAUAGAAGAGCUCUUGGGACAGUUUACCAGCACAACUAAUGCUCUAUGCAAUGUUUAAUGUACUCUUAAUCAAAUAUAAAUUCGAAUAUUAUUAAUGGUAUCUGGAUAAAGGUCCAAUUUACUUGGCUUUAUUUUUGUUCCUAUUUACAGAUGUGUAGUGGCAUAUAAUUCUGAUCUGAUAUUUCUUCAAGUAAGUAUGAAUACCCACCAUAGGAAGAAUUUGAAGACAAGUGCUGUUAGUCUGGACCACUGGAUGCACUUUCACCGGCCUCUCAGAGCUGAUGACUGCCUAUUAUUUGUGCUUGCAAGUUUGUUUUGGCUUUUUCCCCCAGAUAAACAGUCCCGCUGCCUACAAUGCACGUGGUUUUUUUUCUGCUAAAAUUUUCAAUAGAAGGAGAGAGCAUGUUGCAUCGGCAACUCAAGAGGGCCUAAUUAGGGUGAUUAAAAGUCCAAUUCCACCUGUGACUUCGAAGCUGUGAACUGGUUGAUGCUAGGUCAUGUCAAUGGAGUAUUAUGCUGAACUUUUGGUUAUCCAUCAGGUUUAUGUGCCAAGAUCUCCUUCCUCCCCACCCCCCCCCCCCC